GACGAACGCUGGCGGCGUGCUUAACACAUGCAAGUCGAACGGAAAGGCCCUGCUCUUGUGGGGUGCUCGAGUGGCGAACGGGUGAGUAACACGUGAGUAACCUGCCCUUGACUUUGGGAUAACUUCUGGAAACUGGGGCUAAUACCGGAUAGGAGCUCCUGCUGCAUGGUGGGGGUUGGAAAGUUUCGGCGGUUGGGGAUGGACUCGCGGCUUAUCAGCUUGUUGGUGGGGUAGUGGCUUACCAAGGCUUUGACGGGUAGCCGGCCUGAGCGGGUGACCGGCCACAUUGGGACUGAGAUACGGCCCAGACUCCUACGGGAGGCAGCAGUGGGGAAUAUUGCACAAUGGGCGGAAGCCUGAUGCAGCAACGCCGCGUGCGGGAUGACGGCCUUCGGGUUGUAAACCGCUUUCGCCUGUGACGAAGCGUGAGUGACGGUAAUGGGUAAAGAAGCACCGGCUAACUACGUG
RNAcentral lists this ribosomal RNA (468 nucleotides) under uncultured bacterium. RNAcentral describes it as "partial 16S ribosomal RNA". It matches the Rfam family "Bacterial small subunit ribosomal RNA", at positions 28 to 507 of the family's 1533-position model. The record is from RNAcentral.